UUACUCAUUGUCCUUUUGGUAUAUGAGAAGCCAAAGACUCUUCGAGAGGUAACUCUACUAGCAAUGUGCCAGCUCAACAAUUACGACAUCAUCCGAUAAUAACAACAGUUGAAAUACCUUUAAAUAACAACUCCACAAAGAACAACACGUGGCUAGAAUUAUUGAACACAAUCAAAGCCCAAACUUUAAUUCGAAAUCCAGUUAUUGCGCCACAAGUAGUACAAAAAUGAGCACAAAAAUGAUAGCAUUAAGUCAAUCAACAAUGUUUUGAAUAGAUGGCAAAUCAUGAAGUCAAACUAAAGACGACGAAAACCAUAUAUCAUACAAUCAACACAUAAAUUUAUCCUAAUGUAACAGUACAACCAAUCAUAGUCUUUUAAUGAAACAACAAUCCUAUGGUCUCUAGGACCUCUACAGCGAUGAAUGGCAUACAAUAUUUUUGGAAUAACACUUACGACUACAGAAUGAAGAGAUGAAGCAGAAUACAAUAGAAACUAAGUGAAAAUAGAAUGUUACCUAUUUAGGACCAGCAAAACGAAACUUCGAGCUCCUUUGAACUUCACCACCACUGAGAAAAUCAGUAUCGAUGCGAAAGCCUUGACUAGAUGACUACCUUUCUUAGAUCUUUGCCGAACAAAAACUACUAUUUUUCGGAAAACCAAAUAGCUCUUUCCCAAAACCCUUUCAUCUUGACCCAAAUGAAAUUUUCUCCCACCUAACUUCCUUGGAAAAUUUCGAACGCCCCUCUUUCUGCCUCUCAAUUUUCCAACCUUUGAUUUUCAUAAAUUUUUCAAUCUUCCUACUUUUCGAGCCUAACCUCUAAAAGAAGAGAAAGACCUCCUCAGAAUUUCCAACCCACGAUUUUUGAAUCCUAGUUCUAGAAAAAGACCUCCCCCAAGCCAGAGCCUCAAAAAUCCACCCCUAAAGUUGUGACCUAAUCCGUUCUUAUAUAGAAGACAGAAAUUAGGAGGUAUCUUAGGGAUUUUUCAGAGGGAAUUCGAAAUUCAAAACCCCUAGGAUCCCUGGAUCGUAACAAAUUUGAAUUUUCUUCCACAAAUCCGAAACCAGUGGACCAAUCAAAUGCUGGGAAGACAAAAAUAUACCCAAGAACCAAUGAAAAUUUACCAAAUAUGUGCGAAUCCAUACGAUUUAUCCCAAAAUUUAUGGAAUUGAACCGUUGGAGAUGACACCUAGGCUAUUUUUCUAGAAGUUUCGAGGUUCUUCCUUGUUGUACUAUUGCGUAAGGCAUGUGAAGAAGGCUACAAAUGGGUUGUUUAUGGGUUUCUGGUUGUGCGAAUUGGGUUAUGUCUUUUCUGAUAUUGGUUGAGUGCUAGGUCGAUUUUGGGGGAGCUGGGUUCGACUGUUCGCGAUUUGGAAGCCAGAAGCGUGUUUGUUGUUGUUUACUAGGUUAAGAGAAGAGAUUAAGAGGAUUGGGCUGGGUUAUGAUGUUUGGAAGGUGGGCUGGAGCGUUCUUGUAUAUUGUUAUUAACUUGGGCAGAAAUUGUUGGGGUGAGAUAUUGGGUUAAUUAAGCUAAAGGGAGAAAUUGGGCUAAGCGUGUUUAGGAAGUGGGGCGGGGUAAGAUGUGUUGAAAAAAAAAAGAACAAGGGCUGGUGACUUAGUAUUGGGCUUGGGUAGGUUAGAAUAAAUUAGUACUGGAAUUAUUACUUUACAAAAUAGCCAACCUGACAUGAGAUUUGACCCAUUUCAUCCAAUCUUGGCCAAUUGAGAAUUAGUUAGUCAAUUGCCUUGCAAUUGUGGCCUAAUUAAUUUCAAUUAUGGCCCAAUUCAAUAAAUUGGCUAAAUUAAAACAAGAUCCCAUGCGAAUUAUCAACCGUUUAAUCCCGAACUUCUUGAUUUAAUAGAAUUAAACAAGUAUUUAUCUAAAUAAAUUAUUUUCAGAGUAGAUCAUAUUUAAAUCAAGAUCUUAAUCAUUUAAAUUUAGUUUCAAAAGUAAUCCCUAAUUAAAAUUUGAUUUUGAUAAAAAUAUUUAUUUAAAUGACAUCAUUUAUACAAUCUCGUAUAUGUAAAUACAAAAAUAUAUAAUUAUCACUUAAAUAACAAAUUUAGCCUUAAUACAUAUUUUAAAAUGCAUUUAUUUGGAAAAAAUAAUUGUUGCAAUUUUAUUUGAAAAUUGAAGAAACUCAAGAUUAAACGUAGUUGUGGAAGGCAAAAAUUAGGUGUCAACAACUUCCCCCUCCCUUUGGGUAGGAUGGAUGCAAGUAAUCCUGAGAAAAGGGAGGUUGACGUUCCUAAUUUUUGUCCAACUAUAAAUUCGAAUCUGGAAGAGGUCGGCUUUCACAUGAGUUUCAUGGAGUUAUGGCCGAACCUCGACAUCAAGUUUCCUACAUAUCUCAGGUUUCAUGAGAAUUCAGGCCACUUGUAGUUCAUAAAUCUUGAUUUAAAGCACGAUUUUCAAAAAAUUCACAAGUUAUCUCUGUUUUAGAGUGUUUGAUAAAAUCGAGAAACUGAGGAAUAAAGGGAUUGGGGGGAGGUUGGAAUGCAGUCGAGUUUUCUACAUAGAUCCCAGCCUACAUAUCCCCAAGAUUUCAGGGAAUCAGACUACUUGUAGUUCGACUCAAUCGGUAGAAGAGAUAGUCUUUCACUUCAGACCAUCUUUGGCUCGGAAUGAGUGACAAGUUGAUCGAGUUGUAGAAAAGAGGCUUGUAACCUCUUGACCAUGAAUGUGGGAUCCUUCACAUCCAUAGUCAAGAACUUACCUGGUCAUAAUUUCCAAAAUUCUAAGUGUGUUGCCACCCAAAUUUGAAAAAAAAAAAAGGUUACCCUCGACAUGAGUUUAAAAAUAUCCCGAAGUUGAAGCUGAAACUAGAAUAUCCUGAAAUACCCACAAGCCUUCUAAUAGGGGUGUGGUUGGAUGGAGGUGGUGAUCAUUCUAUUACUCGCGUCCAAAGAGUUUGACGUCCCUCUUUAGACUAUGUCCCGCUUUGCUGCUGAGAAAGAGUUCCACGUCGUGUUGCAUCCUUUUUGGAGUCGUCCGCACCUGUGGUUUUGAUUUGAGAUUUUCAUCCUUUCGGAUGCUCUCAACAAUUUCUCAAGCAAAAAGUAUUAGUACUAAAAUAAUUCACGAAAGAUGUAGGUAGUCUUUUACUAUAUCUCCGCGUGAGUUGUGCCCUGAAAAGUGGAGUCAUCUCUUCAUGGUACCUGUUUGGAAUUAAAUAACUGGAAACAACAAACACAACAACCCUCUUGUUGUUGUAUAAUUAUGACAUUUAUCGGUUUAAUACGUCUUCAAAGUAGGGUGGUCUUUUUGGACACCAGCGAUACUUUAUGCAGAACGGUCUCUACAACCGUGAAAUCUUGUGCUGGUGUGGCAACCCUUUUGGUUACCUAUAUCAUUUGUUGUAUGUGGAAUGAUGAAAUCUCCGAUUAUAGCCAAUGAUUGAUUUACAAAUUUUCCUUAAAUUGACAAUCUUUGGAAAAUCUUGUGCAUUAUUUGAUAUUGGAUGCGAGGCGACUUACAGAUAUCCUUUGAAUUUUUAGCUUUUAGAUAAUCCUGCACAUCAUCUGACUUUGGAUAAGAGAUGACUUACAAAUAUCCCUCCAAUUGCUAGCUUUCAGGUAUUCCUGCACAUCAUCCGACCUUGGAUACAAUAUGACUUAUAGAUACUCCCUCAAAUUGAUCGUCUUUGGGUAAUCCUGCACAUAAUCGAUCUUGGAUAUGACGCGGCUUAUAGAGAACCCUUGGACGUAUCAGUUUGACAAUCUUGCAUAUCCUCCGGUAAGGAUUUAGUUGCGACUUACGGAUAACCUUUGAACUAUCAAAUUUUGGGCGAUCUUGCACACUAUCCGGUUCGGAUGUUAUUGUGGCUUAUGGAUGACCUACAGGCUAUCAACUCACAGGUGAUCUUGCAAACUAUCCUAUUUCAAAUAAUAUGACUUAUAGAUGACCUUUAAAUUGCCAAUUGCUAGGAAAUCUUAUAUAUCAUUCAUCCUUAGAUGGCGACCUGAAUGUGUCCCUCUAAAUCGUGCGCUCUUAAUGUAUUCAGAUGUUGAUUCAUGAAAAUAUGAUGAUAUCCUCAAAGCUAAUAUUAUGUAUUGCGUGUCAACAGAUAUAUUGAAUGUUGAUGAUAUCCUCGACGCCAAUGUGUUGAUAGAUAUAUUGAAUGCCGAUGAUAUCCUCAACGCCAGCGUUGUGUCUAGAGCGUCAACAGAUAUUGAAUCCUAGUGAUAUACUCGAUUCCAGCAUUGUGUCUAGCUUGUCGACAGAUAUAUUGGAUACUGAUGAUAUCCUCUAUGCCAAUGUUGUGUCUAGCGUGUCGACAGAUAUAUUGGAUGCUAAUGAUAUCCUCUACGCCAGCGUUGUGUCUAGCAUGUUGACAGAUAUAUUGGAUGCUGAUGAUAUCCUCGACGCUAGUGUUGUGUCUAGCAUGUCAACAGAUAUUGAAUUAUGAUGAUAUCCUCGAUGCCAGCAUUGUGUCUAGCACGUCAACAAAUAUGAAAUAUUGAUGAUAUCCUCGAUGCCAGCAUUGUGUCUAGUGCGUCAACAGAUAUGUAAUAGCCUUUGCAGUAAUGAUAUGUGAUGGCCUUUGUGGCAAUGAUAUGUAAUGGUCAUUGUGGUAGUGAUAAAAUAAUUUUAUCUGGCUUCAUUUGUCAGUGUCCCUCUUUCUACAUGUACCUGUACUCAAGGUAGACGAUUAGUAGACACAAAGUCGCUUUUACUAGCGACUAUUUUUAGGAAACUUCUAAAUACGAUACGUGUAAAGAAGACAAAGCGUUUUUGUUUGUCGCUUACGAUCUCAAGAAGUGAGAUGGACAAAUCAAAAGGUCCUUAAUAAAUGGGCAUUAAACCUAUUUUUAGGUCUGCCCUAAAAUACCAUUCUUGGGUAUUAAUGAUCUGUUGUGGCUCCCAAUUUGCUCGGGGAUUUUUGAAAGAGACUCUCAUUUUGUGUAUUGAUCCCUGCAUCCACAGAAAAAUGAUUAGUUGAAUGAAAUUACUCCAUGUUGACCUUCUUCGAUCCUUGAUUUUCUCCUUGCCAUCUCUUGGGCAUUCCACCAUAUUAAGACUUCCACCCUGACACUCUAUCCCAAAUGAUGUCUAGGCUAGUACUAAGUAAGUGAGUCGUAAGAUUUUUGAAAAUAGUCUUAAAUUUUUGAAAAUAAUUUUGAAAACUUCUGUAAAAUUUUAGAAAAUUUCUGCCAGUCAUGUCAUGUACUAGCUUAAUGAACGUCUUCCUCGUGGUUCUGACUAUAUCCGAUGGAUGGUUUCCAAAACUCAUGAUUAUUGUUGGAGGGUUUCUUCAAGUAGUUCUAUCAUAGCCAAAAAUUGAGUCUACCCAGACUUUGUUANNNNNNNNNNNNNNNNNNNNNNNNNNNNNNNNNNNNNNNNNNNNNNNNNNNNNNNNNNNNNNNNNNNNNNNNNNNNNNNNNNNNNNNNNNNNNNNNNNNNNNNNNNNNNNNNNNNNNNNNNNNNNNNNNNNNNNNNNNNNNNNNNNNNNNNNNNNNNNNNNNNNNNNNNNNNNNNNNNNNNNNNNNNNNNNNNNNNNNNUCCAUUUACUAGGGUUAUAUGACCGAGCCGUUGGGGUGCCUACGUAUCCCGUUGAAGUAGGGAUCAGGUCAAAUGUAGUUCAGGCUAUGCUAGGGAUAUACAAAAGAAAUUAAUGGGUUGACCAAAGCCGACACAGGCCGCCUACGUAUCCCUUUUAUUGGGAAUUCAGGUCAUUACGUAGUUCAUACAUAGGGGGGAAAGGAUAAAUUUUCCUAAAGGGUUGACCAAAGCCGACAUAGGCCGUCUAUGUAUCCCUUUCUUAGGAAUUCAGGUCAAACGUAGUUCGUGCAUAAAGGGAAAGGAUUCUAGGUAGUUACACACUAGCAAACAACAUUAUUACAAAGGUGAUUACAAACAAACUAAGAAAACACAAAAACUAGAACGUCAUUCAAACAUAAUAUCGCUUUACUGCAUCAGAAUUGAUUGGUUUGGUCCACUCUGUUCCAUCCAUCUCCAACAAAUUCAGAGCUCCUCCAGUAGCACCUUGCGAACUAUGUAUGGCCCUUGCUAGUUUGGAGCGAACUUGCCCUUGUACUCCUCUUGGUAAGGGAAUAUUCGUUUGAGAACCAGUUGCCCCACUUCAAAUUCUUGAGUUCUUACUUUCUUAUUAAAGGCACGAACCAUCCUGUGUUGAUACAACUGACCAUGGCAUACAACGGCCAUUCUCUUUUCAUCAAUUAACAUGAAUUAUUCAUAGCGGGCACGGACCCAUUCUUAGUUACUCAGUCCAGCUUCCUGAAUAAUCCUUAGGGAAGGUAUUUCAACCUCAGCGGGUAUCACAGCUUUAUUCCUAUAAACUAGUAAAUAGGGAGUUGCUCCUGUGGAGGUUCGAACUGUUGUUUGAUACCCUAGCAAGGCGUAAGGUAACAUCUCGUGCCAUGAUCUAUCAUUUUCGACCAUUUUUCUCAAGAUCUUCUUGAUAUUCUUGUUAGCAGCUUCUAUGGCUCCAUUUAUUUGGAGACGGUAUGCUGUCGAGUUGCAAUACACAAUCUUAAACUGAUCACAAAUUUCUUUCAUCAAGUGACUGUUCAGGUUUUUCCCAUUAUCAGUAAUAAUCGAUUUUGGCACUCCGAAUCAGAAAAUCAAGUUAUUCCUGACAAAAUCUGCAACCACUUUCUUAGUGACAGCUCUGUAUGAAGCAGCUUCGACCCACUUAGUGAAAUAAUCAAUGGCAACCAAAAUAAAUCUAUGCCCAUUCGAUGCUAGUGGCUCUAUUGGUCUGAUGACAUCCAUGCCCCAAGCUACGAAAGCCUAAGAGAAUUCAUUGCGUGAAGCUUGUGUGGAGGCAUUCAAAUCAGAUCUCUGUGUAUUUGACAUUUUGGACAUCUCUGCACAAACUUACUACAAUCAUUUUCCAUAGUCAUCCAGAAGUAAUCGGUUCUCAGGAUCUUUCUGGCAAGGACAAACCCAUUAAUAUGGGGCCCACAAACUCCAGAGUGUACCUCGUUUAUCAACUUAUUGGCUUCCGCCGCAUCGAUGCAUCUUAGGAAUCCCAAAUCAGGAGUCCUCCUAAAAAGAAUUUCUCCACUUGGAAAGUAAUUCUUUGCCAAAUGCCGGAUUGUAUUCUUUUGGUUGUUACUAGCCUCUUCAGGAUAUAUUCUAGAUUCCAAAUACCUCUUAAUGCCAUAGUACCAAGGCCUUCCAUCAGGCUCUUCUUCCACGUGUAUGCAAUGUGCGGGUUGCUCCUUUAGGCUUAUUUCCAAAGGAUUGAAGUAACUCUGAUCCGGGUGCUGAAUCAUGGAAGAUAUCAUGGCCAAAGUGUCAGUAAACUCAUUUUGUGUUCGUGGGAUAUGUCUGAAAUCAACAUUCUUGAAUCUUCCACAUAAUUCUUGCACAAACUCCACAUAAGGAGUAAUCUUGGAGUUUUUUACCUCCCAUUCUCUCCGUACCUGGUGAAUCAGCAAAUCUAAAUCUCCGAUGGCUAGCAAUUCACGAACACCCAUGUCAAGUGCCAAUUUAAGCCCCAGGAUACAAGAUUUAUAUUUAGCCAUGUUGUUGGUGCAUGGAAAACGUAACUUAGUAGUUACCGGAUAAUGUUGGCCUGUUUUUGACACCAAAACUGCUCCAAUUCCUGAACCUUUGAAGUUGACCGCCCCAUCAAAAAAUAGCCUCCAUCCGGGGUAGAUUUUCGUGAUAUUUUCUCCUACGAACAAAACUUUCUCGUCUGGAAAGUAUGUCCGAAGUAGCUCGUAUUCCUCAUCAACUGGGUUUUCAGCCAAAUAAUCUGCUAAAGCUUGCCCCUUGAUUGCUUUUUGGGUUACAUACACAAUGUCAAACUCACUCAGCAACAUUUGCCACUUGGCUAGCUUUCCUGUAGGCAUGGCCUUCUAGAAUAUAUACUUCAAUGGAUCCAUUCUCAAGAUGAGGUAAGUUGUGUAGGACGAUAGACAAUGCCUCAACUUUUGUGCCAUCCAAGUCAAAGCACAACAUGUCCUUUCUACAAGAGUGUAACAGGCUUCAUAUGGUGUGAACAUUUUACUCAAGUAGUAAAUGGCUUUCUCUUUCCUGCCGGUCUCAUCAUGUUGCUCGAGGACGCAUCCGAAAGCAUUUCUGAGACUGACAGAUAAAGCAAUAAUGGAAUUCCUUCUCUUGGUAGGACCAAAACUGGUGGUGCAGACAAGUAUUCCUUGAUGCGAUCAAAGGCUCUCUGAUAUUCUUCUAUCCACUCAUUCAGUGCAUUUUUCUUCAACAUCUUGAGAAUUGGCUCGUAUAUGACUGUUGAUUGAGCGAUGAAUCUGCUAAUGUAAUUCAGACGACCCAGGAAACUAAUAACUUCUUUCUUGGUCCUUGGCAAGUCUUGAAUUGUCUUGAUUUUGGGUGGGUCUAGCUCGAUCCCCCUUCUGCUGACUAUGAACCCCAACAACUUCCCUGAUGGCACACCAAAAGUACACUUAGCAGGAUUUAACUUCAAACUGUACUUUUUUAAUCUGUUAAAGAAUUUCUCCAGAUGAGUUAGAUGAUCUGAACUCUCACGGAUUUGAUAAUUACAUCAUCCACGUACACCUCAAUCUCCUUAUGGACCAUAUCAUGGAAAAUCAUCGCCAUGGCCCUCAUGUAUGUCGCACCUAUGUUCUUGAGACCAAACGGAAUUACCCUGUAAUGAUAAAUACCCCAGGGCAUAAUAAAAGUCAUUUUUUCUGCAUCUUCCUCAUCCAUCAGUAUCUGAUGACAGCCGACAAAAUAAUCAACGAAUGACUGCAUUUCAUGUUUUGCACAGUUAUCGAUGAGAAUGUGGAUGUUGGGCAAUGGAAAAUUAUCUUUAGGACUAGCUCUGUUCAAGUCUCUAUUGUCAACACAAAUUCAAAUCUUGCCAUCCUUCUUUGGCACAGGGACAAUAUUGGCCAACCAUGUCGGAUAUUUUGUGAUCUCGACAACCUUAGAUUGGAUUUGUUUUGUCACUUCUUCCUUGAUCUUUAGACUUAAAUCUGGCUUGAAUUUUCUUAUUUUUUGCUUGACUGGAUCAAACUCAGAAUUUAUCGACAAUUUAUAUGACACAAUGCUGGUGCUCAACCCUAGCAUAUCAUCAUAGGACCAACCAAACACGUUGAUAUACUCUUGCAACAGGUGGAUGAGCUCUUUCCUUUGUGGCGCCAUGAGGUGGACACUGAUACUGGUCUCUUUGAUUUCAUUGUGAUCUCCCAAGUUGACUAUUUUAGUUUCUUCCAGAUUGGGUUUUUCGCAAUUCUCAAAUUCCUCCGUAUCUUCAAGUAACCGUUCCUCAUCAUCGUCCUUCCAACCAUCAUCAUCCCCUUCAUUUUGUUCGUUCAGGCUUUGACAUGAUACAAUAUUGGUAGGUUUUAAGCUAUUGUUACUAUAAUGGACAAACAAACUAAGUUAGAUGAUGAGAAAAUAACAAAGCAUAUGACUAGGAGCGUUUUAGAACUAAUAUAGUUUUCCAAAUAAAUGAAGGUCUUUUCAUUGAAAUUUGAGAAAUAAUUACAAAACCAUGGCUUGUAACUUGCACAAAUAUAAGCCCCCACCUUUUUUGAAAGCAGUAAGAUACGAAAAUAAAGUUUUGAGAUAUAAAAAGUGUAUCGUGGGGCCUCCUUCGGAUUAUCACUAAUUUCAAAACUAUUAGUAAUUGCCCUUUCAUCUACCACUAUGGGCGACGGGUUAUGAGUGGAGUGGAGGUCUAAUUUUACAAAGCCUCCCCUGGUGCAAUCUGCUUCACCCCACUGGACUCUGGGAGAUCUUCUGAUACAGCAUUGCAUCCUUCAAACAAAUCUCCUAUCCCAUCUCCAAGAACAUCAUCAUCUGACAUCUCUCGUAUGGGAAAUGACUGGAACAGGAGUGGCAAGGGCCUAAAUAGACUUUUUUCUGGCUCAUCCUCAACCCUAUCGUUUUUGGUAGGCUGAUACCCUAACCCGUGCUUAGAGAUUUUCUCUGGGAUCACAAUAGGCUCGAUAAUUCCUUAUAAAUUCUUGCCCAAGCCUCGACUAGGUUCGAACCUAUUUCUUAACAUCACAGUUGCAAUCAUUUUGUAGACAGAAGGCAUUGAUAUUUUGGGUGUUGAAUCUCUUUCUGCAGUAUUUACAAUUUCCACUGUAUAGAAACUGCUACCUUUUGGAACAUCUUCAAUCACCGGCACAUAACCAUUGGGAUGGUCCGCUCGACUUCCUUCUCCUUGGAUGAAUACUUCAUGAUCUUUCCAAAUGAACUUCAAUAAUUUAUGAAGGGGUGAUGAAAUUAUCUUUUCCCCGUGUAUCCAUGGUCUUCCCAAAAUCAGGUUGUAGCUAGGAUGGAUAUCCAUAACAUAAAACUUAGUCUUAAACUCAGCAGGCCCCAUUUGGAUGUGCAAAUCAAUCUCUCCUAUGGUAUCUCUCUGCCCUCCAUUGAAUGCUCUCACAUUUAUGUGGCUUUGAUGAAUUUUCCCCAGAUAAUAGCCCAUUUGGACCAAUGUGGAGAGGGGAUAAAUAUUCACACCAGAUUUGUCGUCUACUAAUACCUGAUUAAUUGCAUAAUCUCGACAAGUGACGGUGACAUGCAUGGAUUUAUUGUGCAUUGCUCCUUCAAACAGCAACUCUUCAUCACUGAAUAAUAUGCGAUGGUUCCCCACAAUGUUCCCUAUCAUCGCAGCCAAAUUCUCAACGCUCGUUCCUGCAGGAACAUAUGCUUCCUCCAAGACCUUUGACAGAGCCUGUCGGUGGUGUUGCGAGCUCAAUAAUAGUGCCAAGAUAGAGAUUUGGUCUGGCGUUUUCUCCAAGUAUUUGACAAUUGAUUAAUCCUUUGGUUGCAUACGCCUCCAAAACUCCUUAGCCUCUCCUUCAGUGAUUGGCCUUUUCUGUGAAUCAUUCUUGUUGGUCAAUUCCUCAGGGAUAUAACAUCGUCCUGAUCGUGUCAUCCCCUGGACAGCGGCGCUUUGCAUAAUAAAUUCCUUCUUUGGAGGGGGAGCGUACACUUGAGUCGGUGCAGUCAUCACUAUAAAUGGGGCUUUCUCACUGAUACUUCAGGUAGCCAUAACUUUCUCUAUCUUUCCUACCUCUUUCGCCCUUUUGUGCUUUUCGAAGUUCACCUAGGUAAUGGUCUUGCCAAAUGCACAUUCGUCUUCUAUUUUAAUCAUGUUAACUGUAGGUCCUCCAUGGUUGGGCAGUGGAUUACUGCUAAUAUUUGAAGUAGGUGCCUGGAGCGUGAUGACCUUUUGAUCAAUCAGAUCUUGGAUGUUAUGUUUCAAGAUAAGACAGUCCUCGGUACUAUGCCCUGCUGCCCCUGAAUGAUAGGCACAAUUUUGAUCAGGGUGAUAAAACUGGGAGCUAGGAUUGACAGGCUUUGGUUGUACUGGUUGCAAAUGACCAGUAUUCUUCAAUCUUUCAAAUAAUUGGGUGCAACUUUCAGCUAGUGGGGUGAAGUUUUGGGGAGGUUUCUUUUCAUGGUUUGGACGCUGGGGGUUAUACGGGCUUAGGUUUGUAGGAGGGGGUACUUGGUGGUAAUUUGGAGGUGUUUGGAAAUUUGUUCGGCCAUUUAGGGGAGUAGUUUUGAAAUGAGACUAAUAAUUUGGAGGUGGAACUGGAUAUUGGGGAAAGAUAUUUGGCUGUGGAGCUUGGUAUGAUGGCGGGAUGUUUGGGAGUGGAGUUUGGGGUGGACGUAGAAUGCGUGCGGAAGGUUAGGUUAUAGCGAGGAAUAUAAAACGUUUCUAGAGUUGAACCGCUAUUUCAAUUUUGUAACAGAAUUGGCAGAAACCCCACCUACCUCUUCCUUCUUCUUCUUAGAAAACAUGGCAGUUCCAGAUGAUGUCGGGCUUUUGGCAAUUUUUUCUAUCCGAAUACCUUCUUCCAAUGAUUCUCCUAUUUUUACCAAAUUCGCAAAGGUUGCUCUGAUAGCGGACACCAUCUUGGUAUAAUAUUCUCCUUCUUGAGCGCGAGAGAACACGGACACCAUUUUCUCCUCGGACAUGGGGGGUUGCACUUUGGCAGCUUCUUUCCUCCAACGAAAAGCAUAGUCACAAAAACUCUCAACGCUUUUUUGUUUGAUCCGAUCUAGUGAAUACCAGUCAGGGACUAUUUUGAUGUUGAAUGCGAACCGGUCAAGGAAACCCUUGGCCAAUGUUUUCCAACCAGUCAACUUUUUUGGCUCCUGAUACAUGAACCACUCCAAGGCUUCACCAUUCAAACUUCGACUGAAUAGGCGCAUCAAUAGUGCCUUAUUUUUCCCUAUCCCUACCAGUUGCUCAUAGUACCUUCUUAGAUGGGCCAUUGGAUUUCCGAUAUCGUCAAACAUAUCAAACUUAGGGACUUUGUAUCCUUCUGGUAGAUCUACUCCCGGGUGAACACAUAAAUCGUCAUACCCCAAACCGUCGUGGUCCUUGUCUCCAUGAGACUUUUUGAUCCUCAUGAUCUCCUCCUUCAUAGCUAGUAAAUUCCUUCCAUGCUGGGACUUCCACUCUUUCUCCUUCUCCUCAUAAUGGUCCAUCUCGGGAUUAGGAAGGGGUUCAUAGGUGUCAGGGGAUAUAAUAGACUGAAGGGGAUUUGGAAGGGAGGCUUGAUUUUAUGGAUGAAAGGAAUUUGGUUGGUAAGUGGGAAGGACGUUUUGGAAAUUGGGAAGGUUCUGCAGACUUUGAGAGUAGUUUGGCAGAAUUUGAGAAGGAUUUUGCAGAUUUGGACAUGAAUUUGGUGGAUUCAAAGGUAGGUUUGACGUAUUUUGUGGAUUUGGGAGUGAAUCUUGCAGAUUUGGAAAUGUGAUUUGAGGAUUUAAAAAUGUGUUUUGAGGAUUUGGGAAUGGAUUCGAAGGUGGGUUCUGUGGGGUUACGGAUGGAUUUUGUGGAUGGUAGACGUUUAGAUUAUUUUCAUGAUUAGUAUUUUGGACAAAUGAAGGAGCGGAGCCGGAUGAUACAUUAAUCGACUGAUCCCUGAGAAUAAGUGUGCUGAGGGGAGGAAUUUGGAGUAGAUUCCUACGUCCUCCAGGAGCGGGAGCAUUGACAGUGAUGUCCAAGUUAGCCGAAUCCCGAGUGCAAUUUAUUUCUUCCUGAAGCAUUUUUAACUUUCUUGCAAGUUCCACAAUCAUCUCAUUCUGUUCCGUUAUCACAUUAUCCCGGAUAGUCAGUGCGCUUUCUUCAUCAUUUCCUGUUAUUUUUUAAUGAUGGUCAGAGGAUGGGAUUUUGUGCGCUUUUAAUCGGUUGAAGUGGGGAUGUUUUGCCAGCUUAUAUCAACAUGGAGUAAUUUCUGUUAUCUGUAAAGUAAAACAACUCAAAGGCAGAUGUGUUAGUUUCCGUAUGUGAUAAGUAAUGCAAAAUAUUUGACAGAAAAUAACCAUAUAGAAUCAUUUGAGUCCUAGACAAAUUCAUCCAUAGGAGUAUAGCGGAUAAACUUGCCUUUGAUCCAAAAAACACCACAAGCACACAAAACACUAUAAUAAUGCGUAUCCUAAUUGGGGUGACCCUUUUUAAGCCAAGGGUUCAGGUCUAACGAUUUUUGAAGAACGUAUAUGCUUCCCAAAAGUCAAUCCAUUAUACCCCAACUUAUAUAGAUACGAAACAGGCAUAAAUACGUACAAACGAUAACAAAAGAGAGAUACAAUCUUUGGGGAAAAAGGGAAAUAACAUGAAAAAGAAUAAGUUCUCACGCAGGGGAGAAUAGAAAAACUAGCUACUGGAGGCUCCUUCGUCUGCCUUUGCCUUAUUAGCUUUGUCCACUUAUCAUAUUGGUGACAUCCGUCGGCGCUCAAAUUGUGCCUUAUAUGCAACCUCCCAAAUCGAUUAAUUUCUUGCUUAACUUGCUUCAAUUCUUCUUACGAAAGUACGCAAAUCAAGCUUUUUCCCGACCCCCAAAGGAUAAUGGAUUGAAUUAGACAGGCAUACAUUUUCUUCAACACAUAAAUAUGGUUCGUAUAUAAUUGACUCGGGGUCAAUAGACGUAGGGCAGGUAUUCUAAUGGGCCCAAUACCCCGUUUGGGUAUUGGGUCGUCCUAGGCUCAUGCCUAAAAUAGGGUUUUGGUUUCGUUCUAUCCUAGGUGUCUAGAGUGGGUUUGAACAUUGGUUCUCAAGCGGACAACUUGAGUUUGAAAACACGAAUAGCAUCAGAUGACUCACGUGCUGAUAAGCUAUUCAUAUUUCCAACACAUUUUGGAAUUGAACAACAGGGGCCGGGACAUCCACGAAACCCCAAAAUAGUUUAUAAGAUGCAGGAAUAUGCCAUGAGAUGCGAUAAUUAAACUUUACAUAAUUGGAACACAUAAAUAGAUAAUCAAAAGACAAAAUCAAUCAUUUGGUUAGAACCUAGUUAUCCCCAGGAGAGUCGCCAUUUCUGUUUUGCGGAAAUUUUGACUUUUGAAGAGAGUCGCCGCUUAAUUUUGAAAAGGAAUUAAGAAACCUUUAUAAAAGUUACUUCAAAAGAUUCAAAAUAGGAAAAUCAUUUUAAGUUAGAGAUUCUAGAUAAGCGGUUCCUAUUAACAUUUUAGGAAGGUGUUAGGCACCUAAAACGUUUACUAACUUGCGGUUAUCCGGACUGUUUGAAAAUCGUCUUUUGAUUAACUUUGAAAAGAUUAAUUUGUUGAAAUAGUGAUUUGAUUUAUUUAUUUUUCAAAAAAAAGACGUGUAAAAUAGAUUUAGGCGACUUAGUAGGGAUUUUAACUAAGUCUAAGCAAAACUAAUAAACAAAUAAACACAUAAAAGGGGAAGGGAGAAGAAAGUAAAGGAUUUAGGCCAUUCGGCCCAAAUCAACAAAACCUGUCCUAGUCUAAUUGGGAUUUCAACCCAUUUCACCUGUCCUAAUCUAGUUUUCAAGCCUUUGGCACGAAUCUUGCUCCACCUGUAUUAAAUACAACUUUGGCUUUGUGGUCCAAAUGAAUGAUGAAUAAAUAAAUAAGAAAAAUAAAAUAAAGACAAUAAUACUUAAACAAAUUAAACAACAAACAAGACUUUGGAGUCUCUUAUCCGCUUCAAAUGUGGGUCUUUAACUCGCCUUUCUUCUUCUAAUUCCUCGUAUUUACGCCAUGGGAUCACUUUUGGAUUUAAACAUUGAGGAUAUGUACCUCAUUGGCUCACUUAAGAAUGCGAUGGGAGGGAGUCCAUUGCGGACUCCAAAAUAGAUUCACAUGUAAAGAAAGAAAGACAAGAAUUAGAAUCAUUCUAAACAACGUAAUUCGAAAAGUUUAAAAAUGAGUAAAUACGCAUAUAGAGUGGGCUAGGAUCUGUACGACAAGGUAAAAAAAAUGCAUGGAAUUGAUGUGGAACUCGGUUAUAUCACAUAUGAAUAAGCAUUGGACUAAUCUUAUUUUGCUAUUUUGGUAAAUCUGCAGGCUGAACUAUGUCUUAAAAAAAGAAUGACUUGGUCGCAAACAGUGUCUUAUCGAAGAACCCACAUUAACACAGAUUGGUCAUGACUAUUCUUUUAUGAAACAAAACUACAAGUUGUUAAAAAAAAUGAAAUUGAGAAGAGGAAGCAAGACUUUAGCAGAAACUGAAUAAGAAGCAAAUUUUCUAAAGCACCCAAAUUCUUAUCAAUAUGCACGCUAAUCGUUACUUAUUGGAAUCAUUUUAACAGUAGUCAUAACGUGAUUUCCAACAUGUGAUGCAAAGAAUUGAACUUUGAAAUGAUCCACAGAAAUGGAAAGAGGGACAUACAAAAGCAAAAUAGUACCCAGCUAUUAAUUUGUUUUAAAAGCCACUGGAAAAUAAUAGUAAAAAAAAUUCAUAACCAUAGAUAGACUAUUUUAAGGAAAUUCAAAGGACUUCAUCCCCUCAUUGAAUCCUUACUCUUAACAUUGUAGCUCGAUAAAGAUUCUCGGGGAAUCCUUAACCUGAGUAUAGACCAUAGACAGUGCUACGACAAUAAAAUUAAGUUAACUUCUCUGAACAAACAUACUCAAAUGUCCAGUAUCCUAGAACACGACUAUAUAUAUCCUUCUAAUGUGUUUUCAUACUGAAGAUGAUCCUAAAGAAAGAGUGGAAAUCUAAUUUUGGGUUUUGAGACCAAAUGAAAGUCACAAUAAUAUGACCUACUAUCCUCAUCCUCACUCUCUCUUCGACAGACCCAAAAGAUAAGCUUUUGAUAGCCGAGAUGAUCACUGAGGAAUCACAGGAUUUUCUGUUCUUUAGCAGACUUAUCCUCAUUGUUCUUCGUCCUUUGAGAAGCCAAAGAACUCAAGAGGAAGUCCUACUAACGAUAUUAUGGAUGAACAGUUAUGAUAACGAUAAAUAGUAACAACGAGCAUAACGAUAGAUUGUUUCAACCCUCCUCCUCGUUCCAGCAGACUCAAACAAAAUAGUCGUCAAGGAAUCUUUGGGCUUCCUAGCAUAUUUUGGACCUUACUCAUUGUCCUUUUGGUAUAUGAGAAGCCAAAGGCUCUUCGAGAGGUAACUCUACUAGCAACGUGCCAGCUCGAUAAUUAUGACAUCAUCCGGUAAUAACAACAGUUGAAAUACCUUUAAAUAACAACUACACACAGAACAACACAUGGCUAGAAUUAUUGAACACAAUCAAAGCCCAAACUUUAAUUCGAAAUCCAGUUAUUGCGCCACAAGUAGUACAAAAAUGAGCACAAAAAUGAUAGCAUUAAGUCAAUCAACAAUGUUUUGAAUAGAUGGCAAAUCAUGAAGUCAAACUAAAGACGACGAAAACCAUAUAUCAUACAAUCAACACAU
RNAcentral lists this long non-coding RNA (16578 nucleotides) under Capsicum annuum. RNAcentral's name for it is "long non-coding RNA (CANN_LNC012563)". Lineage: Eukaryota; Viridiplantae; Streptophyta; Magnoliopsida; Solanales; Solanaceae. The record is from RNAcentral.